This 852-nucleotide non-coding RNA is filed under the name Pan troglodytes (chimpanzee). Lineage: Eukaryota; Metazoa; Chordata; Mammalia; Primates; Hominidae. The record is from RNAcentral.
GGGGGAGAAUGGGCAUCCCACCCCAGCACUUUCUAGGAAGGAGGGCAGCAUUUUGAAGGGCUGGAAGUAGAGGAAGGAGGUUGCGGGUAGAAGACUCCAUACUUUCUGUGAUGCCUAUUCCUUAGGAAUCAAGGCUAUCUGUAAUCACAGGGCUAUUUGAAAAAGAGAAGAAAAGGUGUCUUGAAAUUCAACCAACAUGUUUCAAUUAUUUGCUCCUAAGAACAACAGAAGUUUCAACAUUCUGCCAACAAAGUAACUCCUGGAAGAUUGGCACAGAAGAAGGCACAAGGAAGUCAGUGAUAAAAAUAUUUAAGCAGCUUUGUCUGCCUUAGACCUUCCAACUAAAAGUACAGCAUGUGGAAUGGAAUGCUAAUAUGAGGAUCCAAAUUUUCAGGGAAGGAGGAGAGCCUUUAUAUAACCAAAGAUAUUUUUGGACCAUGAAUUCGGAAAUUCUCGGAGCCACCCAUCAGUGCCUGAGCUUCAGUGAGUCCAUAUCCCAUGUCACCCACGGCAAAGGAGAAUCUAAGACUUCUGAAGAGUUUCUUGCUUCUUUCCUGUGGGGCAGUGACUCCACUUCCCAGCAGUAAUGGAAUAUCCUGAAUUAGCUACAUUAAUGUUAGAACCAUUUGGACCUCACCCAGGACUUCAACUACAUUAUGAGUAACUCCUGGACGAUUGGCACAGAAGGCACAAGGCAAAUACCUAUCUCUGUACACCCUGUGCUACUGUGUCAUGUGCUGCUCCAGGCAACUCCAAUGGAUUGGCCACCCUGGCCAAUGUGUUCUAGUAUGUUAGGUUUAUGUUCCCCUGCUUUCUACAAUCCUGUUCAAAGAGUUGCUGACUUAACCACAG